RNAcentral lists this ribosomal RNA (253 nucleotides) under uncultured microorganism. RNAcentral's name for it is "partial 16S ribosomal RNA". It matches the Rfam family "Bacterial small subunit ribosomal RNA", at positions 524 to 776 of the family's 1533-position model. The record is from RNAcentral.
UACGGAGGGUGCGAGCGUUAUUCGGAAUUACUGGGCGUAAAGCGCGUGUAGGCGGCAGGGCAAGUCUGGUGUGAAAGCCCGGGGCUCAACCCCGGAAGUGCAUUGGAAACUGCUCUGCUUGAGUACCGGAGAGGAAGGGGGAAUUCCCGGUGUAGCGGUGAAAUGCGUAGAUAUCGGGAGGAAUACCAGUGGCGAAGGCGCCCUUCUGGACUGACACUGACACUGAGGUGCGAGAGCGUGGGGAGCAAACAGG